GGGUGUUUCAUAAAGAGUCUCUCUUAAAAGUCUCUCUUAGUGUAAAUCAUGGAAAGUCUCUCUUAAGCUACCAGAGACUCCCGUGAAAAUUUAUUUUCCGUUUCAUAAAGAUCUUCGAAGACUCUCCUAGCGUAAGAGUGACUUUAUGUAAAUAAAAAAUUUGCAUAUCAUUUGCAUACGUCAACAGCGAAUAAAACUUCACUUCCCGCCGCUGCAAGACAGUGCAAUCUUUUGGGUGGAGAAAAGAAACGGGGAUGCCCAUGCCGGUGAGUAGGAAGCAUCGACAUUGAGGGCUCCGAAAGGACUGGAGAAGAGUGUAAGCGCAAAUGGCAGAAGAUUGAAUCAAAGGCUCCGAGAGUACGAGCCUCAAGUUAACAGGAGGUAGACCAGCAACACCAAUGUCUUUCAUUGACUCCCUAGUCCUCGAGAUGCUGGAUACAGAGGUUGUAACUUGUUGACGGCAUCUAGAGCUCACAGAGGCAGGAUUUGACAUUGAGGAGGAUAAUGCUGCUACCAGCAUGCUGGAGGACGUCAUUGGAGGUGUAGAGGAAGAGGAAGGGGCCUGGAUGAAGGAGAGGCAGUA
Strongylocentrotus purpuratus (purple sea urchin) is the source of this 583-nucleotide long non-coding RNA. RefSeq lists it as uncharacterized. NCBI's taxonomy places the organism in Eukaryota, Metazoa, Echinodermata, Echinoidea, Camarodonta, Strongylocentrotidae. The transcript has 4 exons. The record is from RefSeq and is a predicted model, not a curated record.